UUAACUCAAAUUUAUAUGGGAGUUGGAACGUUUGCCUACGUUUGCCGCUAGGGGCGCUGUUCCAACUGCAUACAAAUUUGAGUUA
Bombyx mori (domestic silkworm) is the source of this 85-nucleotide non-coding RNA. NCBI's taxonomy places the organism in Eukaryota, Metazoa, Arthropoda, Insecta, Lepidoptera, Bombycidae. The record is from Rfam.